This is an RNA transcript of Helianthus annuus (common sunflower), 3100 nucleotides long. RefSeq lists it as uncharacterized. The transcript is spliced from 4 exons. Lineage: Eukaryota; Viridiplantae; Streptophyta; Magnoliopsida; Asterales; Asteraceae. The record is from RefSeq and is a predicted model, not a curated record.
GAGUUUUAUCGUUCCCCGUAGCCGUAUCGUCCCCGUACCCCAGUAUCGUACCCGUUCCCGUGCUAUAUAACUUGUGAACGUGUGGAAACUCCAUGUAGGGUUAAUGCAAUUGACUUUCAAGAUAGGCUCCUGGGAAAUUUUGUUUAUCAUCUAGGAAAAGGCCAGAUGUAUCAGGGGCCCAAAUAAAUUUAGCCUAAUUUAUAGGCUUUUUGAUGAGGUGGAUAACUAUGAAAUGGGUGAACCAUAUAACAUUGACCUUAAAAAACCUUUGGCGCACAACACUGGUAUUAGAGUUAGAGAUGUCGAGAUGACUAGGGCUGAUGAACAAGCCACUAAAAGUUCAGAAGAAUCGAUAAUCCUGGAGACUUGGCCAGAAGACAUGUCUCUAAAUCCAGUGCCAAAGGUGAAUGAGGGUUUUACGAAUCCACGGGGUUUAAAAAAUCCGGAUGUGCAGAUUCUGAAGGAAGCGGAUGCGACAAUAAAAGAAGGAACGAAACUGGGCUUCAAAUUGAAUGGUUUCCACAACGAGGUUAGUGAAAUUGUUUCUAGUGAAGGCGUAGACAAUGUCUUGCAAUAAAAUUUUUGUCACCUAAUUUGAGGGGGUCAAGGACCAAAGAAAGGUGGAUUGGGUUAGGGGUUUAAAAACUUCUCAUGGCGUACACUUUUUAGCGAUUCAAGAAACGAAAUUUAGUGAAGGGGUUAAUUUAGAGUUAGUUUCAUUAAACGACAACGGUUCUUAGUAAUAUCGGGGAUCACUAGACAUUCGGAGGAGCUUGUUAAUAUAGUUAAUAUCUAUGCCCAAAACGACCGUAAUUGAAAGAUGAACACCAUGGCUGGAUUUUUUUUUCAGAUGGUUGUUAUUAGGGUUGUGGGUUUUUCUUGGGGAUUUUAACGAUGUUAGAGAUCAUAAGGUUUAAUUGUGAUUUCGUUGCACUAAACGUGUUUUGGUUGAGUAUAACAUUGGGUGGAAAUAUACGUACAAUGGGGAUAGCAGAUUGUCUAUGAGCAAAUUGGAUAGGUAUUUGGUUUGUCGGAAUUUCAUGAUCAGGUGGCCGUUCGCAAGUGUGGUUGCGCCGUUCGCAAGUGUGGUUGCGUUAUCUAAUUAUGUGUUCGACCACUGUCCAAUUGUCCUUAAAACUACAUAGACGAAUUUUGUCCUAUACCAUGUAGAAUCUUUAACUCAUGGAUUGAAAUUCCGGAUUGUAUGGAAAUGUGGAGCAACUAUGCUCCCUUUUUGUUUUAAUAGGCUGACGGAUCUAUGCUUAGCAAUACAAGUGAAGUGGGUGAAACAUAAAAUGGAAACCUGGGUAAAUAAUUUUAAGGCGUCGAGGGAUGUUGAGUACGUUGCAAAACUGGCUGAAUUAGAAGCUUUGGAGCUGUUAGCAGAGGAACGGGAUUUGAAUGAGUAGGAAUUGGAGUCAAGAGCCGAACAUAAAUUUUAGGAAGUUGGGUCAAUUGAAAAGAACAAUUAAAAACAAAGCAAGGGUUGAAGGAUCCAUAGUAGAGUCAUAUCUCGUAGAUGAACUUUCUCACUAUUGCUCCUUGCAUUUGGGCUCGACAAUAAAGACAUGCCUAUACCACGAGCCUCGAAAUUUUGCCCCUAACAUUCCUUGUUCUUCGAGUACGGAUUCUCGGUUAAGUAUAUUCAAACAUCCAUCUCGAAGAUUAUAUGAUAAGGGUGGAAAGACUAUAGUUCUGACAUAUAAACAUAAGCAUAAGGCUCAUACUUAUAUAUUGCUUAACUGUCAAGAGCUUCAUUAUUCUGUUCGGUUAUUUAAUGAAGAAAUGAGAGCUUCAUUUCCUAAUUAUGACCAACCAACACUUGAUAAAAAGAAAGAUAAUUUGCUAAGUGGUUGUGGGUUUAAGUUUUAAAUGGACAAGAGAAUGCACACUUGAGAGAUAUAGCACAUGGGCCUCUCACUUAUGUUAGAUCACACAAAGGCUAUCUAAUAAAUGGUUAUAAGUUCCAUACACGAACUGGCUACCAUGGGCGGGUCACAGAAAAUAGUGGUGUGUGCAUGAACGGGGCUGUUUGUAAUGAACAUGAAAGUUACUUCUAUGGAUUACUAGAUGAGAUCCUAGAGUUGGAAUAUCAUAGUAGCUUAGGAAGUUGUGUAGUCGAUUUAUUUAGAUGUACAUGGUUUGAUCCCGUGAACGAUGUACGGGUGAACCCAAAGACUAAUAUGGUUGAUGUUAAUUCCAAGGCAAUAGGAUGUGUUGACGACCCAUUUAUUCUGGCAUCCCAAGCACACCAAGUGUACUAUACACCAUAUCCUUCAAAAGAAAAAAGGAUUAUAAGACUGGUGGGCUGUUGUCAAGAUGACACCAAGGGGAGUUUAUGAACUAGCUGAAGAUGACACUAUAGUUGGUGAUAAUGAUAAUGAAGACGUGGAACAUUUCCCACAAGAGAAUGAAAGGAUAAUAUGUGUAGCUAAUAAGGAUUUGUUCCCCAUUAUUCAUGAAGAAACAAAUGUAAUAGAUGAAGUUGACGAUGUAAAUGAUGAUGGUAACGAAGAAGAUGAGUUUGAAGACAUUCAUUCAGAUGAUAGCGAAAUGGAAUUUGAAGACGAAGAUUCGGAUUAGUUAAUUUGUUUAUAUACAAACAAACACACAUAUAUGAUAUCAUCAUGGCAUGUAGUUCCGCAUGAGGUGGUAGGGGCACGGGUCAAGGUAGUGGUACCAUUGGACGAUUACAUUCGGAUGCAUAUGAGACAUUGUCUCAACAUGAGAGUAGUGAUGUUGAGGAGCCAACUGUUGGCCGACGGGGACCAGUUGCCCCUACGCCUUUACCUGAACCAAGAAAUCGUGAGCAAAUUUGUGUUAUCUAUGGAGAGUUUAGUAAUCAAGUUAAAGCUACCCGGACUAUGGGAGAAACUUUGGCGGCUAUGUGGUCCCAAAGUAUGUAUAGGAAAAUAGGAUGUUUAAGCGUUUCCUUGGAAAAAUUGGAAAGAUGUCUCUAAAGAAGAUGAAAAUAGGAUGUUUAAGCGUUUCAAAGUAUGUAUUUAUAAAAAAGUGUAUAUAACAUUGUCCAUAACUCAAUAAACCUAAGGAUGACAAUCAAACCCGAACCCGAUGUGUAAACCCGAAAAAUUUGGGACAG